UACGGUGGAUGCGAGCGUUAUCCGGAUUUAUUGGGUUUAAAGGGUGCGUAGGCGGAAGCUUAAGUGUGAGGCGAAAUGCCACGGCUCAACCGUGGAACUGCCUCGCGAACUGGGUUUCUGGAAUGCCCCUGCCGUGGGAGGAAUGUGUGGUGUAGCGGUGAAAUGCAUAGAGAUCACACAGAACACCGAUUGCGAAGGCAUCUCACGAAGGGGUGAUUGACGCUGAGGCACGAAAGCGUGGGGAUCAAAC
Molecule: ribosomal RNA, 250 nt
Filed under: uncultured prokaryote
Description: partial 16S ribosomal RNA
Rfam family: Bacterial small subunit ribosomal RNA
Source: RNAcentral